This is a long non-coding RNA of Solea solea (common sole), 522 nucleotides long. RefSeq lists it as uncharacterized. Lineage: Eukaryota; Metazoa; Chordata; Actinopteri; Pleuronectiformes; Soleidae. The transcript is spliced from 3 exons. The record is from RefSeq and is a predicted model, not a curated record.
UCCACGUCUGUGCUCCUGCUUGUUUGGUCUAAGGCGCAAAAUGGGGCUGUGUGGAACUUUGGCUUUCAUCUGUAUGUUGCUGUCAGCGGUGGAUGGGUUAAAGUGUUACAACUGCUGGGAGAGCAACCCUGGCACCUGUCAUGAAGUAUGGACCUGUCCUUAUCAUUAUGACCGCUGCGCCACCACAAUAGUUGCCCAAAAUUUGAUCAGUAAACACUGUAUGAGGAGUGAUAUGUGCAGUAAUGUUUAUACCGUUGGCAUCAGAUGUUGUUCUGAAGACCUGUGUAAUGGAGCGAAACACACUGGAGUCUUUGUCCCUCUUCUUCUGGUGCCCAUAGCCAUUAAUACACUUUUUAAUUGAGGAUUAACUGUCUAAGUCUGUUGUAUCAUGGGAAGAUCGCCUACGUGCUUGAUGGACCGCUGAAAAACAAAAAUACAAUUUUUGCACUGUAAACUAUUUUAGACUCAUCUACAAAUGAAUAAGACUGUAUAUUUUCCUAAUAAUGUGUAUGUGACAGAAUA